Molecule: ribosomal RNA, 244 nt
Filed under: uncultured Staphylococcus sp.
Lineage: Bacteria; Bacillati; Bacillota; Bacilli; Caryophanales; Staphylococcaceae
Description: partial 16S ribosomal RNA
Rfam family: Bacterial small subunit ribosomal RNA
Source: RNAcentral
CGGCGGACGGGUGAGUAACACGUGGAUAACCUACCUAUAAGACUGGGAUAACUUCGGGAAACCGGAGCUAAUACCGGAUAAUAUAUUGAACCGCAUGGUUCAAUAGUGAAAGACGGUUUUGCUGUCACUUAUGGAUGGAUCCGCGCCGCAUUAGCUAGUUGGUAAGGUAACGGCUUACCAAGGCGACGAUGCGUAGCCGACCUGAGAGGGUGAUCGGCCACACUGGAACUGAGACACGGUCCAG